This 429-nucleotide ribosomal RNA is filed under the name Pseudomonadota bacterium. RNAcentral describes it as "Proteobacteria bacterium partial 16S ribosomal RNA". It matches the Rfam family "Bacterial small subunit ribosomal RNA", at positions 355 to 776 of the family's 1533-position model. Lineage: Bacteria; Pseudomonadati; Pseudomonadota. The record is from RNAcentral.
UGGGGAAUAUUGGACAAUGGGCGAAAGCCUGAUCCAGCCAUGCCGCGUGUGUGAAGAAGGUCUUCGGAUUGUAAAGCACUUUAAGUUGGGAGGAAGGGCAGUAAGCGAAUACCUUGCUGUUUUGACGUUACCGACAGAAUAAGCACCGGCUAACUCUGUGCCAGCAGCCGCGGUAAUACAGAGGGUGCAAGCGUUAAUCGGAAUUACUGGGCGUAAAGCGCGCGUAGGUGGUUCGUUAAGUUGAAUGUGAAAGCCCCGGGCUCAACCUGGGAACUGCAUCCAAAACUGGCGAGCUAGAGUAGGGCAGAGGGUGGUGGAAUUUCCUGUGUAGCGGUGAAAUGCGUAGAUAUAGGAAGGAACAUCAGUGGCGAAGGCGACCACCUGGGCUCAUACUGACACUGAGGUGCGAAAGCGUGGGGAGCAAACAGG